Molecule: ribosomal RNA, 497 nt
Filed under: uncultured bacterium
Lineage: Bacteria
Description: partial 16S ribosomal RNA
Rfam family: Bacterial small subunit ribosomal RNA
Source: RNAcentral
GACGAACGCUGGCGGCGUGCCUAAUACAUGCAAGUUGAGCGCUGAAGGUUGGUACCUGUACCAACUGGAUGAGCAGCGAACGGGUGAGUAACGCGUGGGGAAUCUGCCUUUGAGCGGGGGACAACAUUUGGAAACGAAUGCUAAUACCGCAUAAAAACUUUAAACACAAGUUUUAAGUUUGAAAGAUGCAAUUGCAUCACUCAAAGAUGAUCCCGCGUUGUAUUAGCUAGUUGGUGAGGUAAAGGCUCACCAAGGCGAUGAUACGUAGCCGACCUGAGAGGGUGAUCGGCCACAUUGGGACUGAGACACGGCCCAAACUCCUACGGGAGGCAGCAGUAGGGAAUCUUCGGCAAUGGACGAAAGUCUGACCGAGCAACGCCGCGUGAGUGAAGAAGGUUUUCGGAUCGUAAAACUCUGUUGGUAGAGAAGAACGUUGGUGAGAGUGGAAAGCUCAUCAAGUGACGGUAACUACCCAGAAAGGGACGGCUAACUACGUG